RNAcentral lists this ribosomal RNA (484 nucleotides) under uncultured bacterium. Its description in RNAcentral is "partial 16S ribosomal RNA". It matches the Rfam family "Bacterial small subunit ribosomal RNA", at positions 28 to 523 of the family's 1533-position model. The record is from RNAcentral.
GACGAACGCUGGCGGCGUGCUUAACACAUGCAAGUCGAACGAUGAAGCCGGAGCUUGCUCUGGUGAAUUAGUGGCGAACGGGUGAGUAACACGUGAGUAACCUGCCCUUGACUCUGGGAUAACUGCUAGAAAUGGUAGCUAAUACCGGAUACGACCCUCGGAGGCAUCUCCAGGGGGUGGAAAGAAUUUCGGUCAAGGAUGGACUCGCGGCCUAUCAGCUAGUUGGUGAGGUAAUGGCUCACCAAGGCGACGACGGGUAGCCGGCCUGAGAGGGAGACCGGCCACACUGGGACUGAGACACGGCCCAGACUCCUACGGGAGGCAGCAGUGGGGAAUAUUGCACAAUGGGCGCAAGCCUGAUGCAGCAACGCCGCGUGAGGGAUGACGGACUUCGGGUUGUAAACCUCUUUUAGUAGGGAAGAAGCGAAAGUGACGGUACCUGCAGAAAAAGCACCGGCUAACUACGUGCCAGCCGCCGCGGUAA